RNAcentral lists this transfer RNA (68 nucleotides) under Cricetulus griseus (Chinese hamster). It matches the Rfam family "tRNA". From Rfam's summary of the family: Transfer RNA (tRNA) molecules are approximately 80 nucleotides in length. Their secondary structure includes four short double-helical elements and three loops (D, anti-codon, and T loops). Further hydrogen bonds mediate the characteristic L-shaped molecular structure. tRNAs have two regions of fundamental functional importance: the anti-codon, which is responsible for specific mRNA codon recognition, and the 3' end, to which the tRNAs corresponding amino acid is attached (by aminoacyl-tRNA synthetases). tRNAs cope with the degeneracy of the genetic code in two manners: having more than one tRNA (with a specific anti-codon) for a particular amino acid; and 'wobble' base-pairing, i.e. permitting non-standard base-pairing at the 3rd anti-codon position. Lineage: Eukaryota; Metazoa; Chordata; Mammalia; Rodentia; Cricetidae. The record is from Rfam by way of RNAcentral.
GCAUGUAGCUCAGUGGUAGAGUGCUUGCUUAGCAUGCACAAGGCCCUGGGUUCAAACCUAGCACUGCA